This 66-nucleotide transfer RNA is filed under the name Fukomys damarensis (Damara mole-rat). It matches the Rfam family "tRNA". Rfam says of the family: Transfer RNA (tRNA) molecules are approximately 80 nucleotides in length. Their secondary structure includes four short double-helical elements and three loops (D, anti-codon, and T loops). The record is from Rfam by way of RNAcentral. Lineage: Eukaryota; Metazoa; Chordata; Mammalia; Rodentia; Bathyergidae.
AAGUAGCUUAGUAGUAGAGCAUUUGCCUAGCAUACACAAAGCUCUGGGUUCAAUCCCCAGUACUUG